GUUUCUGUGGUGUAGUGGUUAUCACAUCCGCUUUACACGCGGAAGUUCCCCAGUUCGAUCCCGGGCGGAAACA
Molecule: transfer RNA, 73 nt
Filed under: Blattella germanica (German cockroach)
Lineage: Eukaryota; Metazoa; Arthropoda; Insecta; Blattodea; Blattellidae
Description: tRNA-Val (TAC) (tRNA-Val-TAC-12-1)
Rfam family: tRNA
About the family: Transfer RNA (tRNA) molecules are approximately 80 nucleotides in length. Their secondary structure includes four short double-helical elements and three loops (D, anti-codon, and T loops).
Source: RNAcentral